GACGAACGCUGGCGGCGUGCUUAACACAUGCCAGUCGAACGGAAAGGCCCUGCUUUUGUGGGGUGCUCGAGUGGCGAACGGGUGAGUAACACGUGAGUAACCUGCCCUUGACUUUGGGAUAACUUCAGGAAACUGGGGCUAAUACCGGAUAGGAGCUCCUGCUGCAUGGUGGGGGUUGGAAAGUUUCGGCGGUUGGGGAUGGACUCGCGGCUUAUCAGCUUGUUGGUGGGGUAGUGGCUUACCAAGGCUUUGACGGGUAGCCGGCCUGAGAGGGUGACCGGCCACAUUGGGACUGAGAUACGGCCCAGACUCCUACGGGAGGCAGCAGGGGGGAAGAUUGCACAAUGGGCGGAAGCCUGAUGCAGCAACGCCGCGUGCGGGAUGACGGCCUUCGGGUUGUAAACCGCUUUCGCCUGUGACGAAGCGUGAGUGACGGUAAUGGGUAAAGAAGCACCGGCUAACUACGUG
RNAcentral lists this ribosomal RNA (468 nucleotides) under uncultured bacterium. Its description in RNAcentral is "partial 16S ribosomal RNA". It matches the Rfam family "Bacterial small subunit ribosomal RNA", at positions 28 to 507 of the family's 1533-position model. The record is from RNAcentral.